RNAcentral lists this unclassified non-coding RNA (187 nucleotides) under uncultured Lecanoromycetes. Its description in RNAcentral is "sequence contains ITS1". Lineage: Eukaryota; Fungi; Ascomycota; Lecanoromycetes. The record is from RNAcentral.
CCGAGAGACGGGUCCGAAUCGGCCCCACUCUUCACCCGUGUAUACCUACCUACGUUGCUUUGGCGGGCCUUCGUGCUCCGUGGUUCGGCGCCGACUCAGGGGUCCUCCGGCCCCGAGCCCGGCGAGAGCCCGCCAGAGGUUCAUUAAACUCUAGUAUUGAUGUAGUCCGAGUAAACCAUAAUAGUUA